GCAAGACUCAAGCAAGGAUGUCGCUGGCUGUGGAAGCCCCCAGCUAGCAAACUGAACAAGAAAAAUCCUGCAUCAUUUCUAGGGGCUCAUCCAGGAUUGUCAGAGGGAUUCUUCUGUUUAUACUAAGAGUGAUAAAAUUCCACCAAGAUGCAUAUUUGUUUUUGGAUAUCAAGUUACUUCAGGCUCUCCUAUUCCCUCAUACCCUGAC
Molecule: long non-coding RNA, 208 nt
Organism: Pongo pygmaeus (Bornean orangutan)
Lineage: Eukaryota; Metazoa; Chordata; Mammalia; Primates; Hominidae
Exons: 3
Source: RefSeq, a predicted model, not a curated record